This 532-nucleotide ribosomal RNA is filed under the name uncultured archaeon. RNAcentral describes it as "bacterial SSU rRNA". It matches the Rfam family "Archaeal small subunit ribosomal RNA", at positions 320 to 856 of the family's 1478-position model. The record is from RNAcentral.
GCCCUACGGGGCGCAGCAGGCGCGAAAACUUUACAAUGCGGGAAACCGUGAUAAGGGAACUCUGAGUGCCCGUAAAAUCGGGCUGUCCACCAGUGUAAAUAACUGGUGAAGAAAGGGCCGGGCAAGACCGGUGCCAGCCGCCGCGGUAAUACCGGCGGCUCGAGUGGUGGCCACUAUUACUGGGCUUAAAGCGUUCGUAGCUGGUCUGUUAAGUCUCUGGGGAAAUCUUCCGGCUUAACCGGAAGGCGUCUCAGGGAUACUGGCAGACUAGGGACCGGAAGAGGUGAGAGGUACUCCAGGGGUAGGAGUGAAAUCCUGUAAUCCUUGGGGGACCACCUGUGGCGAAGGCGUCUCACCAGAACGGCUCCGACAGUGAGGGACGAAAGCUGGGGGAGCAAACCGGAUUAGAUACCCGGGUAGUCCCAGCCGUAAACGAUGUGCGUUAGGUGUAUCGGUGACCACGAGUUACCGAGGUGCCGAAGAGAAAUCGUGAAACGCACCGCCUGGGAAGUACGGUCGCAAGGCUGAAACU